GUGAGCGGGGGCUCUGGGUGAUGUGGGGAGCAACAGGCGCCCUCCCCCAUGGCCCCUGCUCAUUCCU
RNAcentral lists this microRNA precursor (67 nucleotides) under Chlorocebus sabaeus (green monkey). RNAcentral describes it as "miRNA (ENSCSAG00000027187.1)". The record is from RNAcentral. Lineage: Eukaryota; Metazoa; Chordata; Mammalia; Primates; Cercopithecidae.